This 141-nucleotide non-coding RNA is filed under the name Loxodonta africana (African savanna elephant). Lineage: Eukaryota; Metazoa; Chordata; Mammalia; Proboscidea; Elephantidae. The record is from RNAcentral.
AUGAUGUAUGAAAGGAAAGAAGGUUAGCACUCCCCUUGACAAGGAUGAAAGGGGCCCUCCAGCCUUUACAACGUGCAUAUGGCUAAGGCAUCUAAACAUGGUUUAAAAAAAUAAAAAAAGAAAUGGCUACUAAUAAUAUUU